RNA transcript from Cucumis sativus (cucumber), 1681 nucleotides. It is a transcript of the gene named peroxisomal and mitochondrial division factor 2, with no coding region annotated. The record is from RefSeq and is a predicted model, not a curated record. NCBI's taxonomy places the organism in Eukaryota, Viridiplantae, Streptophyta, Magnoliopsida, Cucurbitales, Cucurbitaceae. The transcript has 3 exons.
AUUUGGUUAGCCCUUUCUUCAAUUUCCAUUUCCACACUUUUUUUCUCCUCUUCCCAGAAAAUUUGGGAAAGCAAAGAAAAGCUUCAGAUAUUUAUUGUCGCUUGAAAAAUCCCAAACCCUAUUCCCAAUUCUGCAGGCCGCCAAGCCAGAGAAAUCAAAAGGAUUAUUAAUGGAGAAGGAGAUUAAUAUCGUCAAUGAUGGGGCGUCGGGGGACGAUCAGAACCCGGAGGAUUUUUAUGAUGUCGACCAGCGGGAGAAUGAUGCAAAGGUCGCGGAGCUGAAUCAGAGGAUUGAAGUUUUGGAGCGUGAAAAGAAAAAGUUGGUUGACGAGAAUGAACAAAUUAAAGAUAGGAUUGAAAUAUUGUCAGCGGAGAUUGAAGGGUUGAAGAGUGAGGAAGGGACGCUAAAAGAACGACUGAAAGAAAUGGAGAAACAAGUUAAAAGCGCCGAAGAGGGAAAUAAGGUAUUAGAGUCUGUUGCCGCAAGGGCACUGGAGCUUGAGACUGAAGUCGCAAGGCUACAACAUGAUUUGAUAUCUACGAUGAAUGGAGCCGAUGAUGCGAAUGCUGAAGUUGAAAGGUUGAGGAAAAGUUUGGGGGAAAAAGCAGUGAACGUUACAGCUGUGGAGGAAGAGUUGGAAGCCCUGAAGAAAGCAAAGGCAGAAGGUGAAAGGAAAGUCAGAGAAUUGGAGAGGAAAGUUGGUGUUUUGGAGGUCAAGGAGAUAGAGGAGAAGAGUAAAAAAGUUAGGGUGGAGGAGGAAAUGAGAGACAGAAUCGAGGAGAAGGAGAUGGAAAUCACCAGUUUUAAGAAAACUAUCAUGGAUUUGGAAUCAGUGAUUACGAAGAACGGGCUGGAAUUAGAUAGGUGGAUCAAGGAGAAACUUAAGGUGGAAGAGUUGUUGAAAGAGUCCGAGGAGAAAACGAAAAUGGUAGAGUCCAAAAUGGUUCAGUUGCAGAAGGAAGUUGAGGAAGCACACAAAGUCAUUUGUGGGUUAAAGGAGAAAGCAGUGAAUGCUUUGAAUGGAACUGCAGAGGAACUCAAGUCGGCAUUCAAAGGUGCAGAGAAGGAGUUGAACUUGAACUGGCCUAUAAUUGCAGGUUCGACUGGAGUUGUUGCUGCCGUAGCUGCACUGGCCUUCGUUUUAUAUGGAAGGCAAAGAUGAAUCAUGACGCCAAGAAGCUAGAUAUUUGAGAUGGAGACUUGACUCAGAAUAUAGCCAAAAGGGGUUGGGUAUGGUUCCACCAUUGAUGGAGACGGAUCAGCCCUCAUAAAUUCAUGGGUGAAACUCACAGCUAACACUUCCCCAAAACAAUGGCAGCAGCUUGUGGUGCAGUUGUAAAUUUGUACGGCGGCAUUUGCAAGCUGUUGUGUUUAGAUCUGGUAGUAAUAUAAUUGCAUUUGUUGCUAUUAUUUUGCAGCUAGCACCAAUUAUAUCUUAGAAUUUUCAACUUCUUAAUUCUGGACAGCUCAUCUCUGUGUUGCUUCACUCUUCUUUCUUCUGCUGUCUCAACUACUUCUCUGUUUCUCUUUUAAGCCAAUUGUGUAUCCUCAAGUUGGUUGGUUGGUUUGUUUUGUUGUUUGACUGGUCUUUGCUACACUCUGUUGUACAUUUGGGAAUACUGUGGACUUGUGUAAUGAUCAAUUUAUGGGCAUUAACAACAAUACUUAAUGGAAAAGAAAA